Molecule: long non-coding RNA, 1187 nt
Organism: Ceratitis capitata (Mediterranean fruit fly)
Lineage: Eukaryota; Metazoa; Arthropoda; Insecta; Diptera; Tephritidae
Exons: 3
Source: RefSeq, a predicted model, not a curated record
GAAACCUGGCAGAGACGGUUCGUAAAACUAAAACAGUCGGCACCAUGUCGGAUCGCAAAACAGAAAUUAUUGGAAAAAAUGGUGCUGUUGGGACAAGUUCGAUAUGUGAAGAAUAAAACAUGUGCAUUUCGCUGAAGAAUAGUCCAAAGUCUUAAAGAAAACUCAGCGUAUUUUGCAUAAAAACUUGGGUCUCAAGACCGGCUGAUCAUUAAUAAAGUUAAGUCUUCGCUGAUUGGGUGCUUGAAAUGCAUGAAAAUGAUCCGGAAUUUCAUCGAAAAAUUAGUUUGACUGAUGGGACCCGUUUCAACCGCGUUGGGUACGACAGUAAGCAAAACUGGAACCCGGAAAAUCAAAGAUUUAUUGUUGAAAAGCUUUUCCAACCUCAACGUGUAACUGUUUGGUACGGUUUAUAGUUCGGCGGGGUCAUUAGAUCUUAGUUUUUCGAAAAUGAGACUGGAGCAACAGUUACGGCGAGUGGAUUGUGCUAUCGAGAUAAGAUUAAUAAUUUUUUAUGAUGGGAAAUGGCUGGUAUUGAACUGGACAACGUUUACUUUCAACAAGACGGUGCUACAUGCCACGCAAGUAACUAAAGCAUCGUUAUAUUUAGGGAAAAGUUUUCGGAUCGUGUGUGCCCAAUUGGCAAUCAAGAUCUUAUGGUUUAACGACUUGCGACUUCUACCAUUGGAGUCACGUAAGGCCCCCGUCAACAGGCCAAUGUCGUUUCAAGACUUCAAAGGUGAAAUUCGUGAAGCUAUUGAGGUCAUAAAGCAGCCACUCUGAGAUUUAAUGUUGGAAAAAAUCAUACAAAGGAUACGGUCUUGAAAAUAAACUUUGGAUCGCCCAGAAUUAUGGUGUACAUACGAAAUGUGACCUUCGAAUAAUCAUCGACUAACAACAGGGUGAUAGCGAAACGUGAAUUGAUCCAAUAGUUAACUACAGAGGAGUACCAAUGGACAAGACGAUGCCACAAUUUUUCUCACAUAAAAACAUUCAUUUGUAUAAAUUUAUACAAAUAUUUUGCGUGCAAAUACUUAUUUUCACAUGAAUAAUGUGCUGAGCAUAUGGUUUAUAACAAAAGCUGAGGUAGCUCAGUGAGUAAAAACUACAAAUUAACAACAAGAACAUUUGUAAAUACAUUUCCAAAAUUUGAAUAAUUAAAAAUUCUGCUAUUAAAUUUGCGGUAACAU